Molecule: non-coding RNA, 30 nt
Filed under: Homo sapiens (human)
Lineage: Eukaryota; Metazoa; Chordata; Mammalia; Primates; Hominidae
Source: RNAcentral
UCCUGGCUGGCUUGCCAAAAUGUUGUGGGA